GGAAGCUGUGAUUUAUACACAUGAAAUCAUUCAUUUGGAGAUGGUGGUAAGAACAAUGAGGAUCUUAGGCACUGAGUUUCU
Callithrix jacchus (white-tufted-ear marmoset) is the source of this 81-nucleotide small nucleolar RNA. Its record names the gene SNORD25. It matches the Rfam family "Small nucleolar RNA SNORD25". Rfam says of the family: U25 is a member of the C/D class of snoRNA which contain the C (UGAUGA) and D (CUGA) box motifs. U25 is found in gene clusters in plants, and within the U22 snoRNA host gene (UHG) in mammals. NCBI's taxonomy places the organism in Eukaryota, Metazoa, Chordata, Mammalia, Primates, Cebidae. The record is from Ensembl.